Molecule: ribosomal RNA, 482 nt
Filed under: Flavobacteriaceae bacterium enrichment culture clone PSHTC-012
Lineage: Bacteria; Pseudomonadati; Bacteroidota; Flavobacteriia; Flavobacteriales; Flavobacteriaceae
Description: bacterial SSU rRNA
Rfam family: Bacterial small subunit ribosomal RNA
Source: RNAcentral
AGCUACCAUGCAGUCGAGGGGUAACAGGAGUAGCUUGCUACUUGCUGACGACCGGCGCACGGGUGCGUAACGCGUAUAGAAUCUACCUUGUACUAGGGGAUAGCCUUUGGAAACGAAGAUUAAUACCCUAUAGUAAGUAUUUAUGGCAUCAUUUAUACUUUAAAGGUUACGGUACAAGAUGACUAUGCGUCCUAUUAGUUUGUUGGUGAGGUAACGGCUUACCAAGACUUCGAUAGGUAGGGGCCCUGAGAGGGGGAUCCCCCACACUGGUACUGAGACACGGACCAGACUCCUACGGGAGGCAGCAGUGAGGAAUAUUGGACAAUGGAGGCAACUCUGAUCCAGCCAUGCCGCGUGCAGGAUGACGGCCCUAUGGGUUGUAAACUGCUUUUAUGUAGGAAGAAACACUCUCACGUGUGAGAGCUUGACGGUACUACAAGAAUAAGGACCGGCUAACUCCGUGCCAGCCGCCCGGGGGUAAU